RNAcentral lists this ribosomal RNA (1426 nucleotides) under uncultured bacterium. RNAcentral's name for it is "bacterial SSU rRNA". It matches the Rfam family "Bacterial small subunit ribosomal RNA". The record is from RNAcentral.
CCUAACACAUGCAAGUCGAACGGUAACAGGAAGCAGCUUGCUGCUUUGCUGACGAGUGGCGGACGGGUGAGUAAUGUCUGGGAAACUGCCUGAUGGAGGGGGAUAACUACUGGAAACGGUAGCUAAUACCGCAUAACGUCGCAAGACCAAAGAGGGGGACCUUCGGGCCUCUUGCCAUCGGAUGUGCCCAGAUGGGAUUAGCUAGUAGGUGGGGUAAAGGCUCACCUAGGCGACGAUCCCUAGCUGGUCUGAGAGGAUGACCAGCCACACUGGAACUGAGACACGGUCCAGACUCCUACGGGAGGCAGCAGUGGGGAAUAUUGCACAAUGGGCGCAAGCCUGAUGCAGCCAUGCCGCGUGUAUGAAGAAGGCCUUCGGGUUGUAAAGUACUUUCAGCGGGGAGGAAGGGAGUAAAGUUAAUACCUUUGCUCAUUGACGUUACCCGCAGAAGAAGCACCGGCUAACUAUGUGCCAGCAGCCGCGGUAAUACAUAGGAUGCAAGCGUUAUCCGGAUUUACUGGGCGUAAAACGAGCGCAGGCGGAUUAACAAGUUUGGUAUGAAAGGCUUUUGCUCAACGAAAGUUUGUAUCAAAAACUGUUAAUCUAGAGUGUAGUAGAGAGUUCUGGAAUUCCAUGUGGAGCGGUGGAAUGCGUAGAUAUAUGGAAGAACACCAGUGGCGAARGCGAGAACUUAGGCUAUCACUGACGCUUAGGCUCGAAAGUGUGGGGAGCAAAUAGGAUUAGAUACCCUAGUAGUCCACACCGUAAACGAUGGUUAUUAAAUGUCGGUGUGAUUUGCAUCGGUGUUGAAGCUAACGCAUUAAAUAACCUGCCUGGGUAGUACAUUCGCAAGAAUGAAACUCAAACGGAAUUGACGGGGACCCGCACAAGUGGUGGAGCAUGUUGCUUAAUUUGACGAUACACGUAAAACCUUACCUAGGUUUGACAUCUCCUGCAAAGUGAUAGAAAUAUCAUGGAGGUUAACAGGAAGACAGGUGGUGCAUGGUUGUCGUCAGCUCGUGUCGUGAGAUGUUGGGUUAAGUCCCGCAACGAGCGCAACCCCUGUUGUUAGUUACUUUAUCUAACGAGACUGCUACCGCAAGGUAGAGGAAGGUGGGGAUGACGUCAAAUCAUCAUGCCCCUUAUAUCUAGGGCCGCAAACGUGCUACAAUGGACGAUACAAACUGUUGCCAAAUCGUAAGGUGGAGCUAAUCAGAAAAGUCGUUCUCAGUUCGGAUUGAGGGCUGAAAUUCGCCCUCAUGAAGUUGGAAUCACUAGUAAUCGCGAAUCAGACAUGUCGCGGUGAAUACGUUCUCGGGUCUUGUACACACCGCCCGUCAAACUAUGGGAGCUGAUAAUAUCUAAAAACGUUUUGUUAACCGCGAGGAGGCAGAUGUCUAGGAUAGGAUUGGUAACUGGAGUUAAG